RNAcentral lists this long non-coding RNA (2303 nucleotides) under Myripristis murdjan (pinecone soldierfish). RNAcentral describes it as "lncRNA (ENSMMDG00005016914.1)". The record is from RNAcentral. Lineage: Eukaryota; Metazoa; Chordata; Actinopteri; Holocentriformes; Holocentridae.
UUAUCGUGAAAUUUCAGUUGUUACUUUGUAUUGAUAUUUAAGUUGUUACUUUUCCUUAUUAAAAGACUUAAGUUUAACCCUUGUUGGAGUCGUGCGUUUGGGUUCUAUCCCUGUUAGUCAUAGUAUUGACAGAACGAACUCGCCAGCCAGAACCCAGCCGACUCAGAACAGCUGACAAAAUGAACGAGCGGGAAAUGACCCCAGCAGAGGUCAUUAUAUUUUGUCAGCGGCUGUGGACUGAUAUGUCCUCCCGACCUGCACCCCAGUCUCAUGUGCCACAGCAGCUCCCUGUUGCCUGUCCUGCUGCUCCGUUCCAGAGCCCAUUUCAGGGAACCCGACUGGCCUUUGGGGGCCCUCGUAGCCACCAGCUGGCCAGGCGCCGGCUUGCGGGUCUACAGCGUGCUAGUCGCAGCCCAGCCAUCAGCCUCGGCACCCUGGCAAGCUUAGCCCGGAGCCCAAGCAGCCCAGUGUGUCAAGCCACGAGCCCCAGCAACCAAGUGAGUCAAGCCACGAGCCCCAGCAACCAAGUGAGUCAAGCCACGAGCCCCAGCAACCAAGUGAGUCAAGCCACCAGUCCUAGCAGCCUAGCUACCAGUCCAAGCAGCCAAGCUACCAGCCAUAGCAGCCUAGCUAGCCUAGCUACCAGCCCAAGCAGCCAGGCUACCAGCCCUACCAGUCCAAGCAGCCUAGCUAGCCCAGCUACCAGCCACAGCAGCCCUAGCAGCCUAGCUAGCCCAGCUACCAGCCACAGCAGCCCUAGCAGCCUAGCUAGCCCAGCUACCAGCCAUAGCAGCCCUAGCAGCCUAGCUAGCUUAGCUACCAGUCCAAGCAGCCAGGCUACCAGCCCUACCAGUUCUAGCAGUCUAGCUAGACCAGCUACCAGUCCUAGCAGCCCAAGCAGCCUAGCUAUUCCAGCUACCGGCCCCUGCAGUCUAGCAGGUCCAGCUAUUAGCCUCUGCGACCUAGCAGGCCCAGCUACUAGCCUUAGCAGCCGAGCAGUACCUGUCCCAGUUCCCAGAACCAGACUGGCUGCCCCAGUCCCAGUUCCCAUGGCCAGACAGGCUGUCCCGGUUCAUGUCACAGUACCUCGAACCCGAGUGGCUGCCCCGGUUCCAGUUCCCAGGUCCAGACUGACUGCCCCAGUCCCGGUCACAGUCUCCCGUGCUGGAUCAGCUUCCCCGGCACCAGUCCCAGUUCCCCGAACCGGACCGGCUGUCCCAGUCCAUGUCACAGUCACAGAACCUCAAGCCGCACCAGUUCCAGUUUCCCGAACUGGACCCAUUGCCCCAGUCCAUGUCACAGUUUGCCGAGCCCGACCGGCUGUUCCGGACCUGGCCUUGGUUCCUGCCCCAGUACCCCGAACCGGACUGGCUGCCCCUGUCCCAGAGCCCCGAGCCAGACUGGGUGUUCCAGCCACUGCCCCUGUCCCAGUUCCCCGUACCAGACUGGCUGCCCAGGUUCCUGUCACAGUUCCCCAAGCCAGACCCACUGCCCCAGUCCAUGUCACAGUCACAGUACCUCGAGCCCGACUGGCUGUCCUGGCCCCAGUCCCUGUCCAAGUUCCUGGAGUGGACGUUGCCGCUGCCCGGCGGCCUGGAGUGGACGUUGCCGUUGCCGCUGCCCGGCGGCCUGGAGUGGACGUUGCCGUUGCCGCUGCCCGGCGGUCCCGAGUCCACAUUGCCGUCGCCGCUGCCCGGCGGUCCCGAGUCCACGUCGCCGCUGCCCGGCGGCCCCGAGUCCACGUUUCUGGCACCGCUGCCCGGCGGCCCCGAGUCCACAUUUCUGCCGCCGCUGCCCGGCGGCCCCGAGUCCACGUUUCUGCCGCCGCUGCCCGGCGGCCCCGAGUCCACGUUUCGGCCGCCGCUGCCCGGCGGUCCCGAGUCCACGUCGCCGCUGUCCUGCGGUCCAGAGUCCACGUCGCCGCUGUCUGGCGGUCCAGAGUUCACCCUGCUGCUUCCGCUGCCUGGCGGCCCCAAGCCUGCUCUGCAGGAAGUUAUGGUCGCUCUGCAGUGUGGUCCCACCCACGCUGCAGCCAUCCAGGGUGGGUCCGCCUUGACCGCCAGCACUCUGGCCGUCCGCCGGAGUGUCAUCCCCUCCAUGGUUCCCUGCGCCCUGGCCGUCCGCCAGAGCGCCGCCUCGUCCAUGGUUCCCUGCGCCCUGGCCGUCCGCCAGAGCGCCGCCUCGUCCAUGGUUCCCAUCGCCCUGGCCGUCCGCCAGAGCGCCGCCUCGUCCAUGGUUCCCAUCGCCCUGGCCGUCCGCCAGAGCACCGCCUCGUCCAUGGUUCCCUGCGCCCUGGCCGCCCG